This 739-nucleotide long non-coding RNA is filed under the name Gadus morhua (Atlantic cod). Its description in RNAcentral is "lncRNA (ENSGMOG00000023382.1)". Lineage: Eukaryota; Metazoa; Chordata; Actinopteri; Gadiformes; Gadidae. The record is from RNAcentral.
GGUGUACUUCUCUGUUGGUCACCCUUUACUUGUCUGAAACCCGCUGUCCUUGGUGCUGCAUCGCUCUCUUCAGACUCAGGCUGGAGACCAAUGAGUGCAGCACAGAAUCCACCAUGUUAGUGAGAGAAAGACUUUUACAAUAUGUAUUUCUUCAAAUGGACAAGGGUUAAUAUAGGGCUUAGGGCAUGUCAUCUUUGCAAAGUCAAGCAUCAUGGAACAUAUUCUCACUCACUUACUCACUCUCACCCAUCCCCUUCAUGCAGGUGGUGCUUUUCAUGGGUCGGAAGGUCCCCCAGGUUUUCCUGGCUCUAAGGGGGAUCCUGGAGACCCUGGGGACGAUUACACAGCGCCCCCGGGGCCAGAUGGGGACCCAGGAGGCCAAGGACUACCUGGGGACCGGGGGCCACCUGGACCACCUGAAGACAGAGCCAAGAAGGUGACUCAAGGCCCUCCAGGGAUGAAGGGGAUGAAGGGACUGCUGGGCCUGCCUGGAUACAAGGGUGGCCACGGGAGGAAAGGAGAGAAGGGCAACAUAUGUUAUACGUGUACAGGACAGCCAGGACCAAGAGGUCCCCCCGGACCCCCGGGAAUGCAUGGUAACGAUCAGGGACCGGGCGCCCCCGGGGACCAGGGCUUCCCAGGACACGGAGGAUUACCCGGACCCCCUGUAAGAAAAGCUUUUCAAUUAAAAAAACAGUUUUCCCAUUAUCCAACACCCCUACCGGUACGGUCUCUAUAG